This 646-nucleotide long non-coding RNA is filed under the name Homo sapiens (human). Its description in RNAcentral is "non-protein coding lnc-GAL-1:1". The record is from RNAcentral. Lineage: Eukaryota; Metazoa; Chordata; Mammalia; Primates; Hominidae.
CGAGCUUCUGAGCUGGUGCCUGUGGAUGCUCGACGGUCCCGCAGCUCCCACAAUGGGAUGGCCAAGCAGACCCUGAGAUCCACAGCCCCCCUUUAGUGAAACAGGAGGGAGGUCGCUGGGCACAGGGAGCCGGGAACGCCUGCCCUCCCCGCCAUCGACGGCUCCCGAGGCCUGAACCUUCGCUCCAGCCCCAGCACAAGCCGGCCAGGGCGCAGGGCCAAGUGUUGCCCGCCAUUCCCCGGGUACCCCAUGACCUCCCAGCUGGGGCUGGCUCGGACUGAGGAGUCGUCCCUGCCCGUCACCCUCUGGGGUCUCCAGUGCUGCGGAGCUCAGCUGGCUUUUGCAGCGAUUUGGGGGAGUCUCUCCCGCGGGAUGAGGGGGGGCUCUCCGCCGCACCCGCCUAUGAUGGCCCAGAGGACCCGAGCUCGGGUCACUCCCGUCGCCCUCGGGGCUCGGCGAGGGUGCAGGAGGCGGGCGCUGAGCCGGUGACGCGACUCCGGGCGGCUCCCGGGUGCGCCGCAUAUAUAGCAGCGGCGGCGGUGGCGGCGGCCACACCGGGCGGCGGACACGUGGAGGGACCCGGCCCGCGCCUUCUGCCCCUGCUGCCGGCCGCGCCAUGCGGUGAGCGCCCCAGGCCGCCAGAGCC